This 2360-nucleotide ribosomal RNA is filed under the name Salmonella enterica. RNAcentral describes it as "partial 23S ribosomal RNA". It matches the Rfam family "Bacterial large subunit ribosomal RNA", at positions 536 to 2802 of the family's 2925-position model. Lineage: Bacteria; Pseudomonadati; Pseudomonadota; Gammaproteobacteria; Enterobacterales; Enterobacteriaceae. The record is from RNAcentral.
GAGCGAAAGCGACGUUCAACCUCAAAAGAAGCAGAGGGGGCUUAGUGGUGGGGUGACUGCGUACCUUUUGUAUAAUGGGUCAGCGACUUAUAUUCUGUAGCAAGGUUAACCGAAUAGGGGAGCCGGAGGGAAACCGAGUCUUAAUUGGGCGUUAAGUUGCAGGGUAUAGACCCGAAACCCGGUGAUCUAGCCAUGGGCAGGUUGAAGGUUGGGUAACACUAACUGGAGGACCGAACCGACUAAUGUUGAAAAAUUAGCGGAUGACCUGUGGCUGGGGGUGAAAGGCCAAUCAAACCGGGAGAUAGCUGGUUCUCCCCGAAAGCUAUUUAGGUAGCGCCUCGUGAACUCAUCUCCGGGGGUAGAGCACUGUUUCGGCUAGGGGGCCAUCCCGGCUUACCAACCCGAUGCAAACUGCGAAUACCGGAGAAUGUUAUCACGGGAGACACACGGCGGGUGCUAACGUCCGUCGUGAAGAGGGAAACAACCCAGACCGCCAGCUAAGGUCCCAAAGUCAUGGUUAAGUGGGAAACGAUGUGGGAAGGCCCAGACAGCCAGGAUGUUGGCUUAGAAGCAGCCAUCAUUUAAAGAAAGCGUAAUAGCUCACUGGUCGAGUCGGCCUGCGCGGAAGAUGUAACGGGGCUAAACCAUGCACCGAAGCUGCGGCAGCGAACGUAUCACCCAAGACAACUUUACGGAGUUGACGAUUGACGGAGCGAAGCGACGUCAAAGCGUUCAUUAAAGUCGAGUUGGCUUAGGGAUACGUUCGUUGGGUAGGGGAGCGUUCUGUAAGCCUGUGAAGGUGGCCUGUGAGGGUUGCUGGAGGUAUCAGAAGUGCGAAUGCUGACAUAAGUAACGAUAAAGCGGGUGAAAAGCCCGCUCGCCGGAAGACCAAGGGUUCCUGUCCAACGUUAAUCGGGGCAGGGUGAGUCGACCCCUAAGGCGAGGCCGAAAGGCGUAGUCGAUGGGAAACGGGUUAAUAUUCCCGUACUUGGUGUUACUGCGAAGGGGGGACGGAGAAGGCUAUGUUGGCCGGGCGACGGUUGUCCCGGUUUAAGCGUGUAGGCUGGUUUUCCAGGCAAAUCCGGAAAAUCAAGGCUGAGGCGUGACGACGAGGCACUACGGUGCUGAAGCAACAAAUGCCCUGCUUCCAGGAAAAGCCUCUAAGCAUCAGGUAACAUCAAAUCGUACCCCAAACCGACACAGGUGGUCAGGUAGAGAAUACCAAGGCGCUUGAGAGAACUCGGGUGAAGGAACUAGGCAAAAUGGUGCCGUAACUUCGGGAGAAGGCACGCUGACACGUAGGUGAAGUGAUUUACUCAUGGAGCUGAAGUCAGUCGAAGAUACCAGCUGGCUGCAACUGUUUAUUAAAAACACAGCACUGUGCAAACACGAAAGUGGACGUAUACGGUGUGACGCCUGCCCGGUGCCGGAAGGUUAAUUGAUGGGGUCAGCGCAAGCGAAGCUCCUGAUCGAAGCCCCGGUAAACGGCGGCCGUAACUAUAACGGUCCUAAGGUAGCGAAAUUCCUUGUCGGGUAAGUUCCGACCUGCACGAAUGGCGUAAUGAUGGCCAGGCUGUCUCCACCCGAGACUCAGUGAAAUUGAACUCGCUGUGAAGAUGCAGUGUACCCGCGGCAAGACGGAAAGACCCCGUGAACCUUUACUAUAGCUUGACACUGAACAUUGAGCCUUGAUGUGUAGGAUAGGUGGGAGGCUUUGAAGUGUGGACGCCAGUCUGCAUGGAGCCGACCUUGAAAUACCACCCUUUAAUGUUUGAUGUUCUAACGUGGACCCGUAAUCCGGGUUGCGGACAGUGUCUGGUGGGUAGUUUGACUGGGGCGGUCUCCUCCUAAAGAGUAACGGAGGAGCACGAAGGUUGGCUAAUCCUGGUCGGACAUCAGGAGGUUAGUGCAAUGGCAUAAGCCAGCUUGACUGCGAGCGUGACGGCGCGAGCAGGUGCGAAAGCAGGUCAUAGUGAUCCGGUGGUUCUGAAUGGAAGGGCCAUCGCUCAACGGAUAAAAGGUACUCCGGGGAUAACAGGCUGAUACCGCCCAAGAGUUCAUAUCGACGGCGGUGUUUGGCACCUCGAUGUCGGCUCAUCACAUCCUGGGGCUGAAGUAGGUCCCAAGGGUAUGGCUGUUCGCCAUUUAAAGUGGUACGCGAGCUGGGUUUAGAACGUCGUGAGACAGUUCGGUCCCUAUCUGCCGUGGGCGCUGGAGAACUGAGGGGGGCUGCUCCUAGUACGAGAGGACCGGAGUGGACGCAUCACUGGUGUUCGGGUUGUCAUGCCAAUGGCACUGCCCGGUAGCUAAAUGCGGAAGAGAUAAGUGCUGAAAGCAUCUAAGCACGAAACUUGCCCCGA